CAGUAGCCGCGGUAAUACGUAGGUGGCAAGCGUUGUCCGGAAUUAUUGGGCGUAAAGGGCUCGCAAGCGGUUUCUUAAGUCUGAUGUGAAAGCCCCCGGCUCAACCGGGGAGGGUCAUUGGAAACUGGGAAACUUGAGUGCAGAAGAGGAGAGUGGAACUCCACGUGUAGCGGUGAAAUGCGUAGAGAUGUGGAGGAACACCAGUGGCGAAGGCGACUCUCUGGUCUGUAACUGACCCUGAGGAGCGAAAGCGUGGGGAGCGAACAGGAUUAGAUACCCCCGUAGUCCCUGUCUCUUAUAC
This 301-nucleotide ribosomal RNA is filed under the name uncultured bacterium. RNAcentral describes it as "partial 16S ribosomal RNA". It matches the Rfam family "Bacterial small subunit ribosomal RNA", at positions 509 to 807 of the family's 1533-position model. The record is from RNAcentral.